This 1095-nucleotide ribosomal RNA is filed under the name Antrodia taxa. RNAcentral's name for it is "eukaryotic LSU rRNA". It matches the Rfam family "Eukaryotic large subunit ribosomal RNA", at positions 1 to 1078 of the family's 3401-position model. Lineage: Eukaryota; Fungi; Basidiomycota; Agaricomycetes; Polyporales; Fomitopsidaceae. The record is from RNAcentral.
UUUGACCUCAGAUCAGGUAGGGUUACCCGCUGAACUUAAGCAUAUCAAUAAGCGGAGGAAAAGAAACUAACAAGGAUUCCCCUAGUAACUGCGAGUGAAGCGGGAAAAGCUCAAAUUUAAAAUCUGGCAGUCCUUUGGCUGUCCGAGUUGUAGUCUGGAGAAGUGCUUUCCGCGCUGGACCGUGUACAAGUCUCUUGGAACAGAGCGUCAUAGAGGGUGAGAAUCCCGUCUUUGACACGGACUACCAGUGCUUUGUGAUGCGCUCUCAAAGAGUCGAGUUGUUUGGGAAUGCAGCUCAAAAUGGGUGGUAAAUUCCAUCUAAAGCUAAAUAUUGGCGAGAGACCGAUAGCGAACAAGUACCGUGAGGGAAAGAUGAAAAGCACUUUGGAAAGAGAGUUAAACAGUACGUGAAAUUGCUGAAAGGGAAACGCUUGAAGUCAGUCGCGUUGGCCGGGACUCAGCCUUGCUUUUUUGCUUGGUGCAUUUUCCAGUUGACGGGCCAGCAUCGAUUUUGACCGCUGGAAAAAGGCUAGGGGAAUGUGGCACCCUCGGGUGUGUUAUAGCCCUUAGUCACAUACGGUGGUUGGGAUCGAGGACCGCAGCACGCCUUCAUGGCCGGGGUUCGCCCACGUUCGUGCUUAGGAUGCUGGCAUAAUGGCUUUAAACGACCCGUCUUGAAACACGGACCAAGGAGUCUAACAUGCCUGCGAGUGUUUGGGUGGAAAACCCGAGCGCGCAAUGAAAGUGAAAGUUGAGAUCCCUGUCGUGGGGAGCAUCGACGCCCGGACCUGAACUUCGGUGAUGGAUCUGCGGUAGAGCAUGUAUGUUGGGACCCGAAAGAUGGUGAACUAUGCCUGAAUAGGGUGAAGCCAGAGGAAACUCUGGUGGAGGCUCGUAGCGAUUCUGACGUGCAAAUCGAUCGUCAAAUUUGGGUAUAGGGGCGAAAGACUAAUCGAACCAUCUAGUAGCUGGUUCCUGCCGAAGUUUCCCUCAGGAUAGCAGAAACUCGUAUCAGAUUUAUGUGGUAAAGCGAAUGAUUAGAGGCCUUGGGGUUGAAACAACCUUAACCUAUUCUCAAACUUUAAAUAUGUAAGA